RNAcentral lists this ribosomal RNA (407 nucleotides) under uncultured bacterium. RNAcentral describes it as "partial 16S ribosomal RNA". It matches the Rfam family "Bacterial small subunit ribosomal RNA", at positions 28 to 526 of the family's 1533-position model. The record is from RNAcentral.
GACGAACGCUGGCGGCGUGCCUAAUACAUGCAAGUAGAACGCAGUUGCGAACGGGUGAGUAACGCGUAGGUAACUGCCUCAUAGCGGGGGAUAACUAUUGGAAACGAUAGCUAAUACCGCAUACUGUGAGAUGGACCUGCGUUGUAUUAGCUAGUUGGUGAGUGAAAGGCUCACCAAGGCGACGAUACAGGGCCGACCUGAGAGGGUGAUCGGCCAAACUGGGAAUGGAACGCGACCCAGACUCCUUCGAGAGGCAACAGUAGGGAAACUGCGGGAAUGGACGGAAGUCUGACCGAGCAACGCCGCGGGAGUGAAGAAGGUGUUCGGAUCGUAAAGCUCUGUUGUUAGAGAAGCGGUAACUAGCCAGGAAGGGACGGCUAACUACGUGCCAGCCGCCGCGGUAAUUC